AGAGUUUGAUUAUGGCUCAGGAUGAACGCUAGCUACAGGCUUAACACAUGCAAGUCGAGGGGCAGCAUGAUCGAAGCUUGCUUGAUGAUGGCGACCGGCGCACGGGUGAGUAACGCGUAUCCAACCUUCCCUAUAGUAGAGAAUAGCCCGGCGAAAGUCGGAUUAAUGCUCUAUGUUGUAUUUAGAGGACAUCUGAAGAAUACCAAAGGUUUACCGCUAUAGGAUGGGGAUGCGUCUGAUUAGGUAGUAGGCGGGGUAACGGCCCACCUAGCCGACGAUCAGUAGGGGUUCUGAGAGGAAGGUCCCCCACAUUGGAACUGAGACACGGUCCAAACUCCUACGGGAGGCAGCAGUGAGGAAUAUUGGUCAAUGGACGGAAGUCUGAACCAGCCAAGUAGCGUGCAGGAUGACGGCCCUAUGGGUUGUAAACUGCUUUUAUAUAGGGAUAAAGUCGGGGACGUGUCCCCGUUUGUAGGUACUAUAUGAAUAAGGACCGGCUAAUUCCGUGCCAGCCGCAGC
RNAcentral lists this ribosomal RNA (519 nucleotides) under uncultured bacterium. RNAcentral describes it as "bacterial SSU rRNA". It matches the Rfam family "Bacterial small subunit ribosomal RNA", at positions 8 to 518 of the family's 1533-position model. The record is from RNAcentral.